CCUACGGGUGGCAGCAGUGAGGAAUAUUGGUCAAUGGACGAGAGUCUGAACCAGCCAAGUAGCGUGAAGGAUGACUGCCCUAUGGGUUGUAAACUUCUUUUAUAAAGGAAUAAAACGAGGCACGUGUGCCUUUUUGCAUGUACUUUAUGAAUAAGGAUCGGCUACUUCGGGGCAAGAAGCGCCGGUAUUACGGGGGGCCCGACCGUUAUCCGGAUUUAUUGGGUUUAAAGGGAGCGUAGAUGGGUUGUUAAGUCAGUUGUGAAAGUUUGCGGCUCAACCGUAAAAUUGCAAUUGAUACUGGCAGUCUUGAGUACAGUUGAGGUAGGCGGAAUUCGUGGUGUAGCGGUGAAAUGCUUAGAUAUCACGAAGAACUCCGAUUGCGAAGGCAGCUUACUAAACUGCCACUGACAUUGAUGCUCGAAAGUGUGGGUAUCAAACAGGAUUAGAUACCCUUGUAGUC
This 460-nucleotide ribosomal RNA is filed under the name uncultured bacterium. RNAcentral's name for it is "partial 16S ribosomal RNA". It matches the Rfam family "Bacterial small subunit ribosomal RNA", at positions 338 to 795 of the family's 1533-position model. The record is from RNAcentral.